CCACCUACGAUAGUAGAGGGGCAUUAUGUUUUCUGGUCUGUUCGUCCGUGCGUCCGUCCGUCCGUUCGUCCCACUUCAGGUUAAAGUUUUUGGUCAAGGUAGUUUUUGAUGAAGCUGAAGUCCAAUCAACUUGAAACUUAGUACACAUGUUCCUUAUGAUAUGAUCUUUCUUAUUUUAAAACAAAAUUAGACUUUUGACACCAUUUUCAUGGUCCACUGAACAUAGAAAUUAAAAGUGUGAGUUUCAGGUUAAAAGUUUUUGGUCAAGGUAGUUUUUGAUGAAGCUGAAGUCCAAUCAACUUGAAACUUAGUACCCCUGUUCCUUAUGAUAUGAUCUUUCUUAUUUUAAAACAAAAUUAGUCUUUUGACACCAUUUUCAUGGUCCACUGAACAUAUAAAUUAAAAGUGUGAGUUUCAGGUUAAAGUUUUGGUCAAGGUUGUGUUUGAUGAAGCUGAAGUCCAAUCAACUUGAAACUUAGUACACAUGUUCCUUAUGAUAUGAUCUUUCUUAUUUUAAAACAAAAUUAGACUUUUGACACCAUUUUCAUGGUCCACUGAUCAUAGAAAUUAAAAGUAUGAGUUUCAGGUUAAAGUUUUUGGUCAAGGUAGUUUUUGAUGAAGCUGAAGUCCAAUCAACUUGAAACUUAGUACACAUGUUUCUUUUGAUAUGAUCUUUCAUAUUUUUAAACCAAAUUAGACUUUUGACCCCAUUUUCAUGGUCCACUGAACAUAGAAAUUAAAAGUGUAAGUUUCAGGUUAAAGUUUUAGGUCAAGGUAGUUUUUGAUGAAGUUAAAGUCCAAUCAACUUGAAACUUAGUACACGUGUUCCUUAUUAGUUGAUCUUUUUACUUUUAAGGCCAAAUUAGAUUUUUUACCCAAUUUCACGGUCCAUUGAACAUGGAAAAUGAUAAUGCGAGUGGGGCA
Molecule: long non-coding RNA, 924 nt
Filed under: Mytilus galloprovincialis (Mediterranean mussel)
Lineage: Eukaryota; Metazoa; Mollusca; Bivalvia; Mytilida; Mytilidae
Source: RNAcentral